RNAcentral lists this ribosomal RNA (447 nucleotides) under uncultured Haloquadratum sp. RNAcentral's name for it is "bacterial SSU rRNA". It matches the Rfam family "Archaeal small subunit ribosomal RNA", at positions 82 to 526 of the family's 1478-position model. The record is from RNAcentral. Lineage: Archaea; Methanobacteriati; Methanobacteriota; Halobacteria; Halobacteriales; Haloferacaceae.
CACCGAGCUCAGUAACACGUGGCCAAACUACCCUACAGAGACGGAUACCCUCGGGAAACUGAGGUUAACCCGUCAUAUCGAUCUCAGGCUUGAAUCGCAGAGAUCACAAAACGCCCCGGCGCUGUAGGAUGUGGCUGCGGUUGAUUAGGUAGACGGUGGGGUAACGGCCCACCGUGCCCAUAAUCAGUACAGGUUGUGAGAGCAAGAACCUGGAGACGGAAUCUGAGACAAGAUUCCGGGCCCUACGGGGCGCAGCAGGCGCGAAACCUUUACACUGCACGCACGUGCGAUAAGGGGACUCCGAGUGCGAGGGCAUAUCGUCCUCGCUUUACGUGUACCGUAGGGUGGUACACCAACAAGGGCUGGGCAAGACCGGUGCCGGCCGCCGCGGUAAUACCGGCAGCCCGAGUGAUGGCCGAUCUUAUUGGGCCUAAAGCGUCCGUAGCU